This 253-nucleotide ribosomal RNA is filed under the name uncultured bacterium. RNAcentral's name for it is "partial 16S ribosomal RNA". It matches the Rfam family "Bacterial small subunit ribosomal RNA", at positions 524 to 776 of the family's 1533-position model. The record is from RNAcentral.
UACGGAGGGUGCAAGCGUUAUCCGGAUUUACUGGGUUUAAAGGGUGCGUAGGUGGGCAGGAAAGUCAGUGGUGAAAUCUCCGGGCUUAACCCGGAAACUGCCAUUGAUACUAUUUGUCUUGAAUACUUUGGAGGUAAGCGGAAUAUGUCAUGUAGCGGUGAAAUGCUUAGAUAUCAGGAGGAACACCAAUAGCGAAGGCAGCUCGCUGGGACGUUACUGGCACUGAGGCGCGAAAGCGUGGGGAGCGAACAGG